RNAcentral lists this long non-coding RNA (564 nucleotides) under Mus musculus (house mouse). Its description in RNAcentral is "lincRNA-EC89". The record is from RNAcentral. Lineage: Eukaryota; Metazoa; Chordata; Mammalia; Rodentia; Muridae.
GCAAGAGGCACUCUGGUUUCAGCUCAGGGAUACACACAGUGGACUUUUGGCCUCCAGCACUAUGAACUGAGCUCAGUCCAUGGGGUUUACACAGCAAGCAUUUUACCAACGGAUCCAUGUGGCUUGUGCCAAGUCCCCAUCAACACUGCUGAGUUGCUGUAAUACUCAAACCAGUUCAGAGCCUCAUUUCUUUUGCUUCAUUAUCCUGGAAAAUGCCUGUCAUGUGAGGCCCUGAAGCAUCUGCGAGGAAAACCUCAGAAAGAGAUUGCCUUUCCUUUCCUGUCUUCUGAUAUGUGAGCUAAGUCAGCAACACCAGUGACAACAGCCUGACCUUGGACCUUUAGAACAGGUCUCAUUGUGUAGACAUGGAUGGCCUGAAAUUCACUUUGUAGACAACAUUGGCCUUGAACUUAUGGCAAUCCUCCUGCCUCUGCCUGCUGAGUCCUAGUGUUACAGGUAUGUGCCACUAUGCCAGUACACCUGGUUUUCCUUAAACACUCCUCCAGUUGCAUUCCAUGCAUUGUGUUGUGAUAUCUUCAUUAUACACCAAUUUUUGUUUCUUUG